CAGCAGCCGCGGGAACACGGAGGAUCCAAGCGUUAUCCGGAAUCAUUGGGUUUAAAGGGUCCGUAGGCGGUCUUGUAAGUCAGUGGUGAAAGCCCAUCGCUCAACGGUGGAACGGCCAUUGAUACUGCAGGACUUGAAUUAUUGGGAAGUAACUAGAAUAUGUAGUGUAGCGGUGAAAUGCUUAGAGAUUACAUGGAAUACCAAUUGCGAAGGCAGGUUACUACCAAUUGAUUGACGCUGAUGGACGAAAGCGUGGGUAGCGAACAGGAUUAGAUACCCGAGUAGUCCCUGUCUCUUAUAC
Molecule: ribosomal RNA, 301 nt
Filed under: uncultured bacterium
Lineage: Bacteria
Description: partial 16S ribosomal RNA
Rfam family: Bacterial small subunit ribosomal RNA
Source: RNAcentral